Molecule: ribosomal RNA, 252 nt
Filed under: uncultured bacterium
Lineage: Bacteria
Description: partial 16S ribosomal RNA
Rfam family: Bacterial small subunit ribosomal RNA
Source: RNAcentral
UACGUAGGGUGCAAGCGUUAAUCGGAAUUACUGGGCGUAAAGCGUGCGCAGGCGGUGAUGUAAGACAGUUGUGAAAUCCCCGGGCUCAACCUGGGAACUGCAUCUGUGACUGCAUCGCUGGAGUGCGGCAGAGGGGGAUGGAAUUCCGCGUGUAGUGGUGAAAUGCGUAGAGAUGCGGAGGAACACCAGUGGCGAAAGCGACUUCUGGUCCUUAACUGACGCUGAGGCGCGAAAGCAUGGGGAGCGAACGGG